UGAACUGUCCUAAUCCCUGCUGGGCAGCCUAUGGCCUGCCGGGUUUCCCCGUGGACCACAGUGCCCUGGCAGCCACACCCGAGGAAUGGACAGGUGCUCACAGCAAGGCAGCUUCUCUGGACACAC
Molecule: small nucleolar RNA, 126 nt
Organism: Prolemur simus (greater bamboo lemur)
Lineage: Eukaryota; Metazoa; Chordata; Mammalia; Primates; Lemuridae
Source: Ensembl